UUUUUUUUUCCUUUUAUAGUAGCAUAGUAGUAGUAGCUUAAUAAAGUCUUUUUCCCUUGUUAUUAAGCUUGGGCCUGCUUUGCUCUGUUCUUGAUCGCAUUUCACAGCAUUCAAUUGAGAGGUUGCAUUUUCAUGGGGGCGCUGGCAUUGUGCCAGUGUCAAACCAUGACACUUUGAUACAACAAAAUAAUUUCUUACCUUUGGAUAUAUUACAGCAAUAAUUGAGGAACUAAAAAUAUCCAUUCCUUACUAUUUUGUUACAAACACUGCUGAACCAGCACAGUUAUUUAGUGGGAACUAAUGUUACUGACUAUUUCCAGUUCCCUGUGUGGGCAGAGGGGUGGGUCCCACAACAGACAGUCCCUGCAACAGCACCCCAAGGCUCCCUGGCACUUGCAAGUGUGUGAUGUGGCCCUGGGGCAUCAGCUGUGUCACUGAUGGGGAGACUGAGUCAGACAGAAGCCAGGUGUCACUAAAUUUUGUAUCCACCACGUCAAGGGCUGGUGCUGCUGUUCCUGAAACACUGACAAUAAAACAGCCCAAACCCAAGAACCACCAGGCUGUCAGUUCAUUACUGAGCCCGGUGCUGGCAUUGAGGAAGGGCCCUGCUCAUCCUGAUUUGUCCCUGGCUGUGCCAGGAGGUGACAAGACUUAUUCAGACCCAAAGCAGGUAAGUUGUGGAGGAGGAAAAAAAAAGGGACAGGGCAAGACAGAAGCUAACAAGAAAAACUUCAGGCACAUAUUUUUGGGGCAAAAAUGUGUAUUUCUUGCAAGACCGAUCAGGCUGGUGGGAAGGAAUAGGGGCAUGAGGAGCAGCCAUUUCCAGCAAGUUUCAGCAAGAACAAACUUCAGAGGAGCGGAAAGGAGGGUCUUGGAGUGUGAGUGUGCUUUGGGGAGCCUCCAGUACCCUUUCAGGCUGAGACACCCUGAAGGAUGACCCAAGCCACAGCCCAGGGUUGUAGCAGAUGCAGGGGAACAGGAGAACACCAUGCAGCACUGUGAGGGAGGUGACUCUUGGCAUUGUCCCCAGCUGUCACCCCACCUCACCACUUGCCAAAAGUGCCCCCAUUUUCCCUGUCACCCUACUCCCAGGUGGCCCUGGCUCCUGUGGCUGUGCAGGAGGGAGUGGCAUGUGGCACCCUCUGAAUCAAUACUAGCUUGUCAGCUGCUGCUCCCCUGCCCCCAAACACUGGUGGCUUUUACAGCCACUGCCUGGUUGUACUCUGGGGUUCUGGUAGCCGUGGGAUGUGGUGUGCUGGGGCACCUCAGCAAAAAAGGAGCAGCCCCUUGGGACAUCCACAGUGCCCAGGGCAGCCUGGCAUCAGCCACCCCCCGUUGUCCCCUCCCCAUCCCCACCACAUUGGCUCUGCUCUUGUUCCCCCUUUCAUGGCAGUCAUCAGCCAUAAAUGUAUAAAUGUUGCUUUGUAUCCCAAAACAACAACUGCUGAGGGAGGGAAUUAAUACUUAAUUACAUAAAAUUACAAGGAAAUUUAUUUUCAGAGUGAUAGCAGGUGCGGCCUGAUGUGAAUUCCUCCUCACUGGGGUAUUAUUCUCCCUGGAAAAGGGAGCUACUUCAGUGCUGGCUUUAUGCUGGCACCAGGACACAGCUCAGCAGAGUUUUGCUGCAACAAGUUUCUGCAGAAUGAGGACAGGCCUGUGGGUUGCAAACAGCCACUCUGGGUGGUCCCCAUGCCCCCAGUGUCCCCAGCCUUGUGAGAAACCUGCAUAAGAUUGAUGUGCAUGAUGGCUCUGGACCAAAUAACUAAUCUCAUCCCCAGGUAACCCAUACUGGAAUUAUUCUGGAAUUACAAAGAACAGCAGCACCAGCCACACUUGUGGUGGAUGUGAGAUUUAAGGCAGAAGAACUUUGGUAUUUUUAAGGGAGAACGGCUGCUGGCACAAUGUGCUGACCUCCCAGAAAACUAACCAUGUUCUGGGCUUCUUUCUCAGCAGCAUAGGCAGCAGGUGUGUGUGAGGGGGGGAAUUCUUCCUCUCUGCCACACUCAGGUGAGACCCCACCUGCAGAGCUGCCUCCAGCUUUGGAGUCCCCUACACAGGGAGCACAUGGAGCUGCUGGAGUGAGUCCUGCUGGAAGUUAGGAUUUUUCCUUUCCCUCAGGGAAUUCUCUCCCAUAUGUUGCCUAAGAGAUGAUAAUAACCAGGACUUAAGAGUGACUGAAAAAGUGACCAAGGUGGGGGGAAGGGGUGCAGUUGGUUGCAGCCUCUUAACCAGGGGCUUUUCUAUUGGGAAGGGCAGAGAUACCACAACAUUUUUGGCUGGGGAAUAAGGGGCUGGGCUCAGCUCCUCACUUGCUCUCUCGCUCUUGGGAUUGGAAGGGAACAGUUGAGUCACUGCUACCAUGGGAAGAAGUCACUGCCACAGUGGAGUCUAGCCCGGUACUGCUUCUUCCUUACCAUGGGUGAGCCUCUGCUCGUAAGAGCAGAUGGUGAACUGGGACCUUAGGAACUCCCAGUCUGACUGGAAAGAACCUUCACCAUCUACUCUGGUGCCUCAGGGGAAAAACCUGGGGCUCCAAAUCCUUCCCCCUUCCAGGAAGGAGCGUCUCCAUGGCUGCAUGCGGCAACUGCUUGCAGAAACUUGGCUGCCACUGCCGAGCCCCACUGCUUUUUGCUGCUGCCUCCUGCCACUGCCUCGAGCUUUUUCACUGUAGUUCUAACCCUGUGUCCACCCGACCCACGCAGCUCCUGCCAAGGCUGCGGAAUAUUCUCUUACAUUUUAUUUGCCACCCUGGGUCUGCUCGCCUCUGCUGUUCCAGCUGCUCCCGAGGUUCCUGCUGCAGCCGGAGGUGCAGCGGGCCCGGCUGUCCCUGAGGGCUCCAAAGGAACCCCUUCUCCAUCCCUUCCGCCGGCCCGCCGCCAUUGCCGUGCGCAGAGAGGCGGCCGA
Molecule: long non-coding RNA, 2904 nt
Organism: Taeniopygia guttata (zebra finch)
Lineage: Eukaryota; Metazoa; Chordata; Aves; Passeriformes; Estrildidae
Source: Ensembl